RNAcentral lists this ribosomal RNA (496 nucleotides) under uncultured bacterium. RNAcentral describes it as "bacterial SSU rRNA". It matches the Rfam family "Archaeal small subunit ribosomal RNA", at positions 725 to 1218 of the family's 1478-position model. The record is from RNAcentral.
AGUGAAUAGAUACCCUGGUAGUCCUAGCCGUAAACGAUACUCGCUAGGUGUCGGCCACGGUGCGACCGUUGUCGGUGCCGUAGGGAAAGCCGUGAAGCGAGCCACCUGGGAAGUACGGCCGCAAGGCUGAAACUUAAAGGAAUUGGCGGGGGAGCACCACAACGGGUGGAGCUUGCGGUUUAAAUUGGAUUCAACGCCGGAAAUCUUACCGGGACCGACAGCAAUAUGAAGGCCAGGCUGAAGACUUUGCCGGAUUAGCUGAGAGGUGGUGCAUGGCCGUCGUCAGUUCGUACUGUGAAGCAUCCUGUUAAGUCAGGCAACGAGCGAGACCCACGCCCACAGUUGCCAGCGUACUCUCCGGAGUGACGGGUACACUGUGGGGACCGCCGCUGCUAGAGCGGAGGAAGGAAUGGGCAACGGUAGGUCAGUAUGCCCCGAAUAUCCCGGGCUACACGCGAGCUACAAUGGUUGGUACAAUGGGUAUCUACCCGAAGGG